Non-coding RNA from Rattus norvegicus (Norway rat), 1710 nucleotides. Lineage: Eukaryota; Metazoa; Chordata; Mammalia; Rodentia; Muridae. The record is from RefSeq and is a predicted model, not a curated record.
CUGGCGGAUGUCUGAAGUACUUGCCAAGCUUGUGAGUCGGCGCACAUGCGCAGAAACUUUCGUGAGACCGACACCGCCAUAUCUAAGUAUUGCUGACGUCCAGUCCAUGCUUUCGAGGUCCUGAGUUCAAUUCCCAGCAACCAUGUGGUGGCUCACAACCAUCUGUAAUGGGAUCCGAUGUCCUCUUCUGGUGUGUCUGAAGACAGUGGCAAUGCACUCAUAUAAAUAAAGUAAAUAAAAAAAAAAGCCAUAUCCUGGGGUGAUAUACUACAGUUAACAAGAACAGUUAGCCGGAAGUGGAACUAAACUACAGAAGUCAAAAAGCAAGGUUAGUACAUUUAGAGACCUUCCCAGAGCUAUGGGUUUUGAUGGGUUGGGUCUUUGUUUUUGUUUUUUGCAGGUGGUGUCUGUGUGCUGAGUUUUAUGCGUUGUACUUACAUCCUGCAGUCACUUGUGCUAAGGCCUAGGGGCUUGUUAGUAGAAGGCAUCAGGGUGUUGUUGGUUAGCUACUCUGUUGACAGGGCUACAAUCCUGCAUUCUUACAGUUUUCUGUCUCAUGAUGGCCUCUCAUGGGCCUUGCUGAUGGUCCUUGGGUGCUUGUUUAAAUCAUUAACCUGAUUUUCAUCUAGUUUAGAAUAUGUGGGUAUUGGAUAAGUCUAGCCACCUGGUAGAGACCAGUCCAGGUCUGCUGAGUUCCAAACUUGGCCUCCCAUCUGUGACAGAUCCAUAGUUGUCAUUUACUCUGGCUUGGCGGUCAUUUUCUGUUUAGGUGGUGCUCCCAUCCCCUCCAGAAAGGUCUGUUUCUGUUCUAAUAUUAAGACUGUGACCUUUCUGGGCUAGGAUAGUUGCAGAUGUAUUUAAGGAUUUCAUGAUGAAAUCAUCCUUGAUUAUUAAGAUGGGCCUUAAAUUAAAUGACAGUUUUCGUAAGAGACAGAACCUUUGCCUAUCAUAUAAGCAACUGUUAGAUUCCCAGCACUACCAUCCCCCAAAAAGGGGUUGGGGAGGAGAUACUGUGUUUGGCCAAAAACCCACUAUUUUGGGGAGUUCAGCUGAGCGCCCUUGCAGAAAGAUUAUACAAUCUAGAUUUGACUUGUUUACCCUCCAUCAUGGGAGUGUGGGGAGGAUCAUAGGACUCUCAACUUGGUAUACAGUUGUAUGUAACUCUGCCUUAAUUGCAUGUGGUCCUGCUGGGGCUGGAGUAUAUAUAGGCCAGGAAGAUUGGGGGAGCAAGGCUCUAUCUGUGCAGCUAUGACUAUGGGGAAACACUCCUUUCUACUGGAAAAAAGCUUUUCAGAUGGGGCCUAUUGUGGGAGAAACCUUGUAAGUAACAGUAACUCCUCACCUGUGCUUUAUAAGGAAAUCCAACAAACUCAUACUGGUUCCCUAAAGUGAGCUUUGGUGGAAUGUGCCUUGGUUUGCCAUCGGAACCGAAGAAUAGGUAGGCACUGCAUACAUCUUCCCCUUGGAAAAAAUUGUAGUAAUAAGAGGGAAGAGGAGGAGAAGAGGGGGAAGGAGUGGAUGGUAGAGAGGUCUUGUGGUUGUAGACACAGAGAUUGCAGUGAUGUAGCCACACAUCAAGAAAUACCUGAAGGGGUUGGGGAUUUAGCUCAGUGGUAGAGCGCAUGCCUAGCAAGUGCUAAGGCCCUGGGUUCGGUCCUCAGCUCCAAAAAAAAAAGAAAAAAAAAAAAGAAAAAAAAAAAAGAAAGAAAA